AGUUGGCACCUGUGUGUUUUGUUUACAGACUUCAGUCUUGGGAUUGCAGUGAGGGAAUCCUUCCUUUCUCCUUCUGCAUUAACAGGGGAGGGGACUGUUUAUCCCUGAGAAAGGGUACUGGAACGGUUUAUGUUGUGUAUCCUUUGGGCUAGUUUUGUUUGCCCUGGAAGGGGAGGGCUUUAUAGUUUGGUUGAAGGGGUAACUGAUCUACCACAAAAAAAAUUGAAGGAUGGAUGCAAUUUGACAGAGGAAAGGAGAUACCUCUGGGAUUUAAAUAGAGACGUCUGAUCAGGGAAUUGGAAACCAUCUGCCACUGCAGAGUUACCACUGAUUAGAAACACCACUGGGAAAAGAAGACAAGCAUGGGAGGUGCACACCAGAAUCACACUUGAACCAAAGGAUCGAGAGACUGGACAACCUCUGCAGUUUGGCAGGAAAGGUUAUAGCAACAUAACAGCCAGCAUGCAGACCCGUUGGUAAUUGGACUUCUCAGGAGGGGCUCUUCAGGAAUGCUGCCUCUGGAUGCAUCUUCAGGUCCCCAGUGGCAGACGGAAGCCUGGCCAGCUGAAGCCCGUCACGGUGCCACUCAAAAGCCACGCUCAGCUUCGAUUCUUGAAUGUGGACAUUUCAGAAGACCGUGAGUAGGAAAUACUUGGAAUGACAUCUUGGGGAACUUGGAUGUGGUCCAUGUGUCUGACUUCCCACAAAAUCCUAAAAAAGAGAUGCUGUCAGACAGCCCUCCUGCAGCCAAGAUGGCUGAUCAGGGAGAACUUGCCCCUCUGAGGCUAGAGUGAAACUAUGGCUUAAAAAAAACUCGAGAGCAAACUAUUUUGAGGAAAAAUAUCUGAAGAGCCAACAAAUUACUAGCACGCAUCAAGCUAAUUUGCAAGGCUUGGCAUCAAGACUAGAAGAAGCUGAGAAUAGAAUCUUCUUACUAGAAGUCACAAUGAACACCUCAGAGCAACGGACAAGUGCUAUUGAAACACUGUAGGAGAAGGUUAAUGAUAUCAAAGGAAGAUCAAGGAUAAACAAUCUGAGAGUUUUCCAGACGUUCCGAAUUGGAAAAAAGGAGAGGCCUGUGAAAUUUUUAGCCACGAUAUUGCCUGUGCUUUUGUCUCUCUUCCCUGAUGAGAACUUCGAUAUUGAGAGAGCCAACCACACCUGAUUGCAAAGCCCCAGCCCAUAAUUGUAAGAUUUUUAAAAUACAGUAUUCAGGAACUCAUUCUUUAAAAAGCCUGUGAACUUAAACGUCUAGCAUGAUAGGGACACAGGCUGACGAUUUUCCUGGAUUACAGCUAGGAUGUGAUGGAAAAGAGGACUAAAUUCAAUAGCUCAAGAGCCCUAGCCAAAAGGUUUGGACUACUUUAUUUCCUUCCCCGCUCCUUUCAAAGUUAAAAAGGAUGCCAAGAUGUUUAGUUUUAUGACAGCAGAGGAAGCUGAAAGGUAUCUGAUCCCACUACGUCAAAAGACCCCUGCAGAAUAUGCAGAUGGGAUGUAUUAAAACAACUUUACCAGAUCAGGGCUGGAAUUCAGCUCUCCAUUUAGCAACAAUGGUACAGAGCCAACACAAUAUUUUGUCUCCACCCUUCUGCUUGUUUCCUUUCUUUGAACUUCCCCAGCUUCCCCAACAGAGGGAGCCAGCUGAGGAGCAAAGGGGUGGGGAAGAGGAUCUCCUCUUCGAUUUGAGGUCUGGCCCUCCAUCUGGAUGCAGGAAAUAGUUAUGAGCUCCUCCUGGUGUUAGCAGGUUGGAGUGUUACAGUAUUGACACAGCUACUUUGCUUGCAUCUACCUUACCUAGCCUCCCCAUGAUUCCAGUGCACAGGAAGCAUCUACCCUAUUCCCUUGUGAUUCCAGUGCGCCAGGAGCACAUCCUCCUUUGAGAUCCUGACUCCAAGCAAAUCGCUUAGCUAGACCUGGGGACUCGUUACACCUGUGGAUCGGCAAGGCCUUUUUAUCUGAGGCACUCUCCCUCCAGGGAUCUUUUCCAACUCCUCUCUUCCUCCUCCCUACUCACCCUCAAUGACUUUACUUUGUUUCAACCCAAAUUCUAGGAAAUUAGGUGGGGAUAACAGUAUUCCUGGAAACAGUCAACUCAUUUGCUCUAAAUGUACAGUACACUGACAAGAGAUACCAGAUUUAACCUGAGAUCAUCAUUAAACAAUGUAAUGAAGGACUCUGUUCAAUUCCUCAACUGUAAAGAAAUCUGAUCUCCCCCUAAAAUCCUAUUCAAGAAUAAUUAUCGCUGGUUAUGCUUCACCAAAUGACUGAGACUCACUUGUUUUUUAAAUAUUAUU
This is a long non-coding RNA of Mauremys mutica (yellowpond turtle), 2294 nucleotides long. RefSeq lists it as uncharacterized. The record is from RefSeq and is a predicted model, not a curated record. The transcript has 5 exons. NCBI's taxonomy places the organism in Eukaryota, Metazoa, Chordata, Testudines, Geoemydidae.